Pelobates cultripes (western spadefoot toad) is the source of this 240-nucleotide non-coding RNA. The record is from the annotation of a GenBank genome assembly. NCBI's taxonomy places the organism in Eukaryota, Metazoa, Chordata, Amphibia, Anura, Pelobatidae.
GUUUUCCUUCCCUUUCAUUAGAUGCUGAGCAGUGACUUUGAAAAACAAUCCCACUUGAGGUUCAACGACACCAAAUCCUUCCAAGAAGAUCUAUCUUUUCAAGUGGAGUGCUCUCCCAUUCUCCUGCGUUUAAUAUUAUUAACUGAUGUUAAACACUUGGAGAGCGUCAUAUGAGAUGUCAAGCCUUGGACAUUAUGUUCAUUUUCCGUUGCUUCCAAAAGUGCUUGUGAAAGAGGGUUU